AGGGGCUGUGGCUCAGUGAUAACACGACUGCUUGGCAUGCAGAAGGUCUCAGGUUCAAUCCCUGGCACCCCUA
Molecule: transfer RNA, 73 nt
Filed under: Sphaerodactylus townsendi
Lineage: Eukaryota; Metazoa; Chordata; Lepidosauria; Squamata; Sphaerodactylidae
Description: tRNA-Ala
Rfam family: tRNA
About the family: Transfer RNA (tRNA) molecules are approximately 80 nucleotides in length.
Source: RNAcentral